This 65-nucleotide transfer RNA is filed under the name Eclysippe vanelli. RNAcentral's name for it is "tRNA-Ile". The record is from RNAcentral. Lineage: Eukaryota; Metazoa; Annelida; Polychaeta; Terebellida; Ampharetidae.
ACAUUGCGCCGGGUUGAACGGGUAGUUUUGAUGGAGCUAAAUAUGAGAUUUAAAUCUUCAAUGUU